This 908-nucleotide ribosomal RNA is filed under the name Escherichia coli. RNAcentral describes it as "partial 23S ribosomal RNA". It matches the Rfam family "Bacterial large subunit ribosomal RNA", at positions 321 to 1230 of the family's 2925-position model. The record is from RNAcentral. Lineage: Bacteria; Pseudomonadati; Pseudomonadota; Gammaproteobacteria; Enterobacterales; Enterobacteriaceae.
UGUGUGUGUUAGUGGAAGCGUCUGGAAAGGCGCGCGAUACAGGGUGACAGCCCCGUACACAAAAAUGCACAUGCUGUGAGCUCGAUGAGUAGGGCGGGACACGUGGUAUCCUGUCUGAAUAUGGGGGGACCAUCCUCCAAGGCUAAAUACUCCUGACUGACCGAUAGUGAACCAGUACCGUGAGGGAAAGGCGAAAAGAACCCCGGCGAGGGGAGUGAAAAAGAACCUGAAACCGUGUACGUACAAGCAGUGGGAGCACAGAGCAAUCUGUGUGACUGCGUACCUUUUGUAUAAUGGGUCAGCGACUUAUAUUCUGUAGCAAGGUUAACCGAAUAGGGGAGCCGAAGGGAAACCGAGUCUUAACUGGGCGUUAAGUUGCAGGGUAUAGACCCGAAACCCGGUGAUCUAGCCAUGGGCAGGUUGAAGGUUGGGUAACACUAACUGGAGGACCGAACCGACUAAUGUUGAAAAAUUAGCGGAUGACUUGUGGCUGGGGGUGAAAGGCCAAUCAAACCGGGAGAUAGCUGGUUCUCCCCGAAAGCUAUUUAGGUAGCGCCUCGUGAAUUCAUCUCCGGGGGUAGAGCACUGUUUCGGCAAGGGGGUCAUCCCGACUUACCAACCCGAUGCAAACUGCGAAUACCGGAGAAUGUUAUCACGGGAGACACACGGCGGGUGCUAACGUCCGUCGUGAAGAGGGAAACAACCCAGACCGCCAGCUAAGGUCCCAAAGUCAUGGUUAAGUGGGAAACGAUGUGGGAAGGCCCAGACAGCCAGGAUGUUGGCUUAGAAGCAGCCAUCAUUUAAAGAAAGCGUAAUAGCUCACUGGUCGAGUCGGCCUGCGCGGAAGAUGUAACGGGGCUAAACCAUGCACCGAAGCUGCGGCAGCGACGCUUAUGCGUUGUUGGGUA